AUUUCAGCCGUAGUGCGGGUAGUAUUUUUAAAUGUAUUAUUUGUCUAAAUGGAGUUCAAGAUUCAAACACUAAAGUGAAGUCUAAUGAAAAUAUCAUGCACAACAAAUCUAGAAGAAACUAGAAUAUAACCCUAUGCGAUGCAUGGUAUACAAUUUUUAUCUUUUUUUUUGACUAUUCAUGAAUAUAAUGGCAUAACAAACAAUAA
RNAcentral lists this long non-coding RNA (206 nucleotides) under Elaeis guineensis (African oil palm). Its description in RNAcentral is "long non-coding RNA (EGUI_LNC013370)". Lineage: Eukaryota; Viridiplantae; Streptophyta; Magnoliopsida; Arecales; Arecaceae. The record is from RNAcentral.